This is a long non-coding RNA of Gymnogyps californianus (California condor), 574 nucleotides long. RefSeq lists it as uncharacterized. The record is from RefSeq and is a predicted model, not a curated record. Lineage: Eukaryota; Metazoa; Chordata; Aves; Accipitriformes; Cathartidae. The transcript is spliced from 3 exons.
UUUUAUUGUUGCUUUUAUUUUCUGCUUUUAUUUGGGUAGUGUUACUGGAUUGUCUUGGAUUCUGGCUUAGGUACUGAGAGGCUAUGCAUAUGGAGGGGGAGGCCCUGGUUUCCUGCUGUCAUUAGGUUUAAGCAGGAGCUGCAGGGUCUCUUCCCUCUCUGCUGCGCCUGGGGCUGCAGCCUUCCUCCUCGCCGCGCUGAAGGAGCGGCUGCUGCGGACCUCUGGCACCUGGACUAUCUCAUGGUUGUGCCGCCUUUCAGCUUCUACCUCAACUAUGAUUACACUUGCUUCUUCCUUCUGCCUACUUGCACUCUACUCAGCUGAGUGCCUUAUGGUGAUUUUCCCCUGUGCUGCUGCCAUCAGCGGUAGUACCAUCCUUGUUGCUGGCCGAGGGGACUAAGGCGAAAAAGACUCCAGUUGCAAAAAGGCCACUGAUAGAUGCGAAACUGUGAGGCUUGGGUUGUGAGCGGUCUGAGGGGAAUUCUUGUGAAGAUGACAAAAAGCCAUUUCCAAGAAUAAGGGAGCGAAAAUCUUAUGAUGUGCUAGGCUUCUUAAUAAAGUGGCUGGAUAAGUA